CCUACGGGAGGCAGCAGUGGGGAAUAUUGCACAAUGGGGGAAACCCUGAUGCAGCAACGCCGCGUGAGUGAAGAAGUAUUUCGGUAUGUAAAGCCCUGUCAGCAGGGAAGAAAAUGACGGUACCUGACCAAGAAGCCCCGGCUAACUACGUGCCAGCAGCCGCGGUAAUACGUAGGGGGCAAGCGUUAUCCGGAUUUACUGGGUGUAAAGGGAGCGUAGACGGCAAGGCAAGUUUGGAGUGAAAGCCCGUGGCUCAACCACGGGACUGCUUUGGAAACUGUGUUGCUGGCGUGCAGGAGGGGUAAGCGGAAUUCCUAGUGUAGCGGUGAAAUGCGUAGAUAUUAGGAGGAACACCGGUGGCGAAGGCGGCUUACUGGACUGUAACUGACGUUGAGGCUCGAAGGCGUGGGGAGCAAACAGGAUUAGAUACCCGUGUAGUC
This 440-nucleotide ribosomal RNA is filed under the name uncultured bacterium. RNAcentral's name for it is "partial 16S ribosomal RNA". It matches the Rfam family "Bacterial small subunit ribosomal RNA", at positions 338 to 795 of the family's 1533-position model. The record is from RNAcentral.